UUGACGCCGCCAACGAGCAGCAGACACGGCUUGACCCCGGUCAAGCUCAAUCGGAGUCUCCGGGACCCAAUCCUGGAGCGUGUCGUAACCCCAGCGGUCAUCAACAAGCCAAAGGAUCUUCCUCACAUCGCACUUCCGGCCAGAAGGGCGAGGGCAACCACGACCGGCGUUCUCAGCGCCAGAGCGAGCAUACUUCGAGCCGGCGUC
This 207-nucleotide long non-coding RNA is filed under the name Hordeum vulgare. RNAcentral describes it as "long non-coding RNA (HVUL_LNC009309)". The record is from RNAcentral. Lineage: Eukaryota; Viridiplantae; Streptophyta; Magnoliopsida; Poales; Poaceae.